This 358-nucleotide unclassified non-coding RNA is filed under the name uncultured fungus. RNAcentral describes it as "sequence contains ITS1". The stretch from base 1 to 102 matches the Rfam family "5.8S ribosomal RNA", at positions 50 to 154 of the family's 154-position model. Lineage: Eukaryota; Fungi. The record is from RNAcentral.
AAAGUGCGAAAAGUGUCAUGACUUGCAGAUUCCCGAGAGCUGACAAAUCUCUGAAUGCAAAUGGCAGCCGAGUGAGACCCGGCUAUGUAUUGUAGAGUGUAGACGCUCCAGCUAUUCAUCAUUCCCUCAUCAUCUAUCUGAUCGAGCGAAUGUAUCUGCGCUUGUACACUAGUACUUCACUACUAGCUGUACGAGUGUUAAAUGUAAAGGUCGGUGAAGGAGAGAGAGUCUUCUCUCUCUUCUUCACAAGGAGCACCGAUGAAAUAUUCAUUAUCAUUGAGUGUCUUCGAACAACGCACCCCAAUCAUAUAAAUUUCAUGAGCCACCUCUAUGAUGCAUGAUAACCCGCUGAACUUAA